GAGGCUUUAGCUUAAUUAAAGUGUCUGUUUUGCACACAGAGGAUGCGGGGUAGUACCCUGUAAGUCUUA
Molecule: transfer RNA, 69 nt
Filed under: Gobiomorus maculatus (Pacific sleeper)
Lineage: Eukaryota; Metazoa; Chordata; Actinopteri; Gobiiformes; Eleotridae
Description: tRNA-Ala
Rfam family: tRNA
About the family: Transfer RNA (tRNA) molecules are approximately 80 nucleotides in length. Their secondary structure includes four short double-helical elements and three loops (D, anti-codon, and T loops).
Source: RNAcentral